UAAGAAUCUCAGACCAUUUCCAGAGC
Molecule: non-coding RNA, 26 nt
Filed under: Macaca fascicularis (crab-eating macaque)
Lineage: Eukaryota; Metazoa; Chordata; Mammalia; Primates; Cercopithecidae
Also listed under: 1 other name
Source: RNAcentral